This 13377-nucleotide long non-coding RNA is filed under the name Chlamydomonas reinhardtii. RNAcentral's name for it is "long non-coding RNA (CREI_LNC000638)". The record is from RNAcentral. Lineage: Eukaryota; Viridiplantae; Chlorophyta; Chlorophyceae; Chlamydomonadales; Chlamydomonadaceae.
CACAGCCGCACAGCCGGUUUGGUGGUUGGAUGACGGUGGCAGUGCCGGGCCAGUUCCUGAUACCUUCCGUACUCGUGAUGAGCCGUGUGUGACAUCCGUACUCGUGAUGUUCGGUGUUUGUGUCAUAGCCUUGGGCAAACCUAACUGAGCAUUUACGUGGUUUCGAGUCCAACUCGGACACCUGCAAUUCAUCUGUGAUCUGUCAGCUGAGAGCACGCACAUGACGGACGCGGGUCUGCUGCACGUGGCGUACGGCUGCCCCGCCCUGCACAGCCUGCACUUCAGCGCCACGGGCAUCGCCGAUUGGGGCGUGCGCCGACCGGUGGUGCUGGCAGGGCCUCUGCCCGGUGUUCGCGUCGUGGUCGCAGCAGCAGGGGCAGAAGGCUGGAGGGGCGGCGUUAAGGCGGCAGGCGCUGUGGGUGCCGAGGCACGGGCGGCUUGCAACCAGAUGGCAGCGCGCUGUUGGUUGGGACGUUGGGUUGCACUUGGGGGUGCGCUGGGUGAUAACUUUGUUGCAGGAACGGUGGUAGGCGCCUGGCGUGCGGUAUCCCGCGAGCAGCGGGUGCGCCGCGACGCGUUGACCACUCAAAAACGAAGUGCUUGCGAGUGAAUGCGAAUGCAAGAGCCUGGCUGCGCACGCUAUGGUCAACUCGGCAUGGGGCCGUUCGACAGAGGCCAGCACACAUGCCGACGUGUAGCAGUUUGGACUUUAUUAUGGCUGUUUUCAGAACAAACUUCCUCCUCGGUAUUGAAGUCGCCGGGGCUUACUCGAUCUUACUUCUCUUACUUAGCUUACUUGGCUUACUUGGCGCGAUUGUCUAUACCGCCCUAUAGUCCGUGCAGUGGCGCAAUAAACUCCUAAUUUGCAAGAUGAAAACGAUUGCAACUUUGGGAGCCGGGAAAUCCAGUGGCAUUCAUCAGAACCAGCGACUGCGCCAUCGCGACUUGCGCAUGCGCGCGCCCCCGGCCCCCCAAAAUAAGCUGGGUGUUAUUAGUUUGAUAACAAUAUAGUUGUAGGCUUGACAGACGUGAGAAGGGAGCAUUCUAGGCCCCCGACACGAGUAAGCCGAGUAAGCCAAGUAGGAUCGAGUAAGCCCCGGCGACUCCGAUUGCCAUCGGAAGUUUGUUCUGAAAACCGCUAUAAUAGGUUGCACUGUUGACGUGAGCUCAAGCUUUCCGCUUAGAAGAGUAGUUGCUAGCAGUGCUAGUGAAGCUGCGUAUACUGUAACUUUCCUGAAGUCGUCAAUUUUUUCUACGCUGCAUACGCACCCUCAUGAUAAUCCUGGUUGUCAUAGAACAUGCCACCUAGACGGGCUCGAGUCCCUGCAACUCUCGAGAGCCGCAUCAAGCAAGGUCUGCAAUACUUUGCUGGCCUGCGCGAGGACGAGGCAGCAGAUGUUGCCCGUGCAAAGGACCUGGGCGAUGCACUCCUUGAAGCUGACAUGAACAUUAUCAGCAAUACCGGGAUUUUGAGCGGCAUCGUGGCUGCGCAUGCCUGGGCCGCGCGUGCGCUUGCCGUUGACGUUCUGAACGACUCGGCUUACGUCGCUUUUGUAGCGACCGCAACUAAUCUAGGAGAACUGCUCAGCAGCCAGCCGGGCGACCAAGCUUACGGCAGGCAGGACCGGUUGGUCCGAGCCCUGCUGAGGGCGGACACGCUCGCCGUGCACGCGAGGCUGUGUACGGACGCUCGCGCCCACCCGCGGGGCCGCCGCCCGCCGCAGCCUCCGGCCACCGGAUGCAAUCAAGCGGGAUCUGGUAUGGCGUGUCCUCCAGAACCUCUCCACGAUUGCCCGAUUUGUGAACAACAGCCGGGAUGCUGGCCUCAAGCACGAGCUGGUGACGGCGCUGGCGCACACGCAGCUGCUCGAGCACGCCGCGCGGGCGCUGCUAAGCGCCGCCCAGGCCAUUCAGCCCGCAUCCAGCGAAGGAACUUCAGGGGCGGCUGCAGCUUCGGGAACGGGGCUUCCACCUGAGAGCUGGAUAACCGUGUCGGGCGUAGCAACCACAUUUGCCCACGCGCUUUCGUGCCUGGUGGGCACAGACCUGCGCACUACCGCGCUGUGCCCACGACCCCGCGAACGGGACGCAUCUGUGGAGGUGUCGCAGAAUUCGAGGCAGCUACAACUGCUGGAGCAGCUGCGGCCGCUGCUGGCCAGCCGCUGCGUGCAGCUCUGCACGGGAUGGGCGGGCCUGUGUGCGGCCAUUACCGUACGGCAGCGGGCAGCGGACGACAGCGCUCAGCAGGGCUUGGUACCAACUGCGUCGCAGCUGUGGCACGGGCUGCCGUCGGAGCUGAUACGGCCGCUGCAGCUGCCGCCGCAGGCCACUGUGUCAAGCCAGGAUAUGGUGCGCACAGCGACCCUGGUACGUAUACGGUACUCGACCGCCGAUGCGCAAGAUGGGCUGCUGCGUUAGUUGACGGGGAGCUUGACGGGGAUAUAAGUGCAUGAACUGCAAUGCUCCCGGCGGGGCUCUCCGGUAUACAAUCUAGUGUUGGCAUUACAGGAACUUAGCGUUGACAUUAGCUCGCCAUUUGCUCGCCGCCUUGCAGGCACUGCCUAUGGUCCUGCAGGUGACGGUCAGCGGCCCCUGCGACCUGGCCAUCGCCCAGCCGCCCGUGGGCUACGACCGCCUGCCGCACAGGCAGCCACAGCCGCAGCGACCAUCGGCGGGGCCAUCAGCAGCGGGGUCAGCAGCAGCGGAGGGGCCGGCUGCAGCACCAGCACCAGCUUCGUACAGCGCCGUAAACGCGUACGGGCUGCUUAAGGCAUUAUGGCACUGCCUGGCCUGUGACCGCGCCACUUACACGUGCAACCUGUGCGCAGUCGCCACGGUAAUGACCCGGCUGCUGACGGAGCUGCGGCCGCGGCAGGCGGCGGUGCUGCUGCCGAGUUGGUGGCAGCUGCUGGCGCAGGAGCCGUCCAUGCUCAUUGAGGGGUACGGGCUUGCGCAGGACGCAGGGGAGCUGCUGCGGCUGCAGUUGAAUGCGCCGCCGCCGGUCGCGUGGGCUGUUGGGGUGACGGAUGCAGCUUCCGUGGCUGCGGCGAGUGUGGACUGGCCGCCGGAAGCGGCGGAGGUGCAGGACGCGGAGGCGGCGACAGCAGCGAAGGCAGCAGCCAGCCUGGCGCGUGAGAGGGACCCCAGCUACAGCCUCCGCUGCGCGCUGGACGCGGGGCUGCUGUCAGUUAUGGAACGGUGCCUUCGCGCGCCACAGGCCUGGCGGCAAUCCAACAGCGUGAGCAAGCUGCUGUACGUCGUAAACUGCGUGCUGCGCUACUCGGGCGUGUGGCCCGCGGUGCUGGCUCGCGGUCCCGUGCAGCAGGCGGUGUCGCUGAUUGCCACGCUGGGCGCAGCAGCUCGGCUGCUGCAGGAGAAGGACACGUCACUGGACGUGAUAAGCCGUGCCUCCCAGCCUGGCAUGCAAACAACGGCAAGGUGCGGCGCCGGCGGCUACCUGUGUGCCUACCUGUCCGCAAUGCUGGAGCAGGUCGUGGACGUGCGGGCGCUGGGCGAGGGCGCACAGCAGCAGCAGCAGCGGGAGGAGCAGCAGGCAGCAGCUAUCGAUGCUACGGCCACAGCCGCAAUUUCCACCCCACUGCACCUCAACUCGGUGCUGGAGCAGGUAGUGGAUUCGAAGGACGGCAGUGUCGAGCCCUCCACGUGCUCCAUCGCCUGGAUGGCGGCGGCGGGCGGCCUGCCAGCUGCCGGCUCCACAGCGUACCGGCAGCAGCAGCUGCUCACGAGCUUCGCGGUGUACCAGUGGCUGCCCAUGCUGGCAAAGGCAACGGAGGAUGCCUUGUGGAGUAGUGAGGCGGGCGCCGAGGGCUGGCUGUCGCAGGCGCUCCUGGUGGGGCACCUGGUGAUGGAUGUGCUCUGGCGCGAGGAGCGCCCGCCAGCUGAAGCCGACGAGGGCGCUGGCUCACGCAACCGACGACAGGACGCGGCGUGGUGGGAGGGCGUGACGCAGACUGGCCAGCUUGCGAAGAGCAUGCACAAUAUUAUGGACGUGCUGGCAACAGACGCCGUAAGGCCGCUGCUGCUUGAGCACUGUGAACAGUGGCAGCAGGCAGCCGUGUUGGACCUGUUGCAAUCCUAUUGGACACGCUUUGCGGGGGCGGCGCGUGUCACGAUACGUGCGUGGGCGAUACGGGCGGCCGAACAACAGCAUCAGCGGACGGAUGGAAAGCAGCAGGCUGGGCAGGCGGCGGAGGGCGGGAAGGGCAGCAGCACGAGCAGCCUUGGCGACAGCACAGCACAGCAGCGGCAGGCGCCACCGCCCGAGCUAGUGCUGCAGUGCUUGACGCCGCUGCCGAUGCAGCAGCUGGCAGCGGUGCACGGGCGGCAGGACAUGGUGGAUUACCUGGACGCAGUAGCUAAGGGUUUGAGAGGGGAAAUGAUGAUUGAGUGCGGCAGUGCCGGCGCCGGCGGAAGCGGCAUGGGGGUGCAAGGGCCUGCCAGCAUGGAGGGCGGCGCGUCGCACGCUAGCGCCACGGCGGAUAGGUUGAGGGCGAAGUGGGUUGGCGCCGUGCGGCCGCGGUACCCGUGGCUGUUGUCUCAAGGCCAGGCACAGGCGGGGCUGCAUGACCUGAUGGUCGCAGAGGCGGCGGCUGCAGCGGCAGCUACUGCUACGGGCGAGCCCUCAGUAGCCUGCGGCGGCGGUGGCAGCAGCGGGAGCAGUAGCAGGAGCAGUAGUGGGCAGGGCAGCAGCAGCGAUGGGCCGGUAUUUGAGCACAAGCUGUGCUACAACCCGCGCUGCUGCUCGCUGGACGGCCCCAGCGCGUUGGUUGCGCCCCGCGGCGGCAAGACGUGUGUGCGGUGCCGUGCUGCCACGUAUUGCUGCGGCGCUUGCCAGCUUGUGGACUGGCGUGAGCGGCACUCUGGCACCUGCAGUGGAGCCGCCGCGGCGGCGGCAGGGUCAGCAGGGACAGCGAAGGCAGCGCUGAAGAAGGCAUGAAUGCUACGGGCGAGCCCUCAGUAGCCUGCGGCGGCGGUGGCAGCAGCGGGAGCAGUAGCAGGAGCAGUAGUGGGCAGGGCAGCAGCAGCGAUGGGCCGGUAUUUGAGCACAAGCUGUGCUACAACCCGCGCUGCUGCUCGCUGGACGGCCCCAGCGCGUUGGUUGCGCCCCGCGGCGGCAAGACGUGUGUGCGGUGCCGUGCUGCCACGUAUUGCUGCGGCGCUUGCCAGCUUGUGGACUGGCGUGAGCGGCACUCUGGCACCUGCAGUGGAGCCGCCGCGGCGGCGGCAGGGUCAGCAGGGACAGCGAAGGCAGCGCUGAAGAAGGCAUGAACUGACGAAGUGCAACAGCAGUAUGGACCCGAAGACUGCGCUUCAAAUGCGGCGUUUUGCGGUUUGUAUGAGAGUGAGAGUGCGAUGCAUGGCGUGGACUCUUGGGUCGUUUGCCACGCCGAGCGUGCAGCAAGAAGCGCUCAAAAAGCCCAAUUGGCUCUGCUUUGCAUUAGCGCAUUACGGUUGAUGACCGCUGACGCGGGUGGUCCGCGCCUUCAUCGGCCGGGAUUACAGAGCGGACUCCACACCGAAUGUAUGAGUGCCAGACCUGCGAUGCUAAUCUUACUUCGCCAAGGCUAGCCUCCUCGCUCCUUUGAGGCUUGAUACCGUAUCAAGGUUUUGGGCAGGAGUAGGGGCAUCAUGAGCGGCGGCGGGGUAACAGGGUGGGGUACAGGCUGCAGUGUUGUUCGGGUUUGGGCGCGUUCUAGGCAUGUGGCACCCGUAUGUGGCAGAGCAAUUUGACUGUCCCCAACAUGUUUAUGUGCCCGCCGAGAAUGCUAAGCUGACGGUCUGAACUUCGCGGUUUUUGUAGUUGCACGACUGUAUGUCAUUAGAGUUUCGGCCAUUGUCGCAGGUGCAGGCGCAGUGCAGUAGAAUGCAGGGGCGUGGGCGAGGAGGAGAGGGCUGACGGACAACUGGAGGCCGUGAUGCGGCGGUAGAUACGGUAGGUACAGGACUGGGAGGCGCACCAAAUGCAUGACUGACUUACCAGUGCACGGCUGAACGCGAUGGCUACAUGUGCGGACUGCGGACGGGCUUGGAACAUCAGCUUAUGAAUGAGGGACGGUGCACUGUUGCCGACGCAUUCGGCCUAUCACGGCAUGCACUCACAUGGCAUCAUCUCGCUCUACACCGCCAGUCUUUGGUGCCACGGCAAGAGGUGGGGCCCCGGUGGAUGGGUGUGCAGGAGGGCGGGGUGGUUUGGCGGUAGGGAUGGGAGUGCGGAAGUGGACGACAAGGUCAAGCUUGCAGGAGGUGUUGUUUGCGGUAACAGCUGGAUGGUGGCAUGUUUUGUCGUUGUAAUAUGGGACAAGCAGCAUGAGGAUGCGUUGUCGAGGAUCAAGUUCACGAGCAUGCCAUCAGGUGAGUUGAACAAGAAAGGCCGUUAGUAAGGGCGUGCUAUGGCUGCUGCAAGUUGUUUCGGGUUAAGGAGGAGGGUGGCAUCCCUGGCCACUGGCGAUCCACCGGGUCACCUGCGCAAGGUAGGCGGUGGCGAGCUCCUUGUUGUUGGGGGGGGGCGGGUGGCACAGCCGCACAGCCGGUUUGGUGGUUGGAUGACGGUGGCAGUGCCGGGCCAGUUCCUGAUACCUUCCGUACUCGUGAUGAGCCGUGUGUGACAUCCGUACUCGUGAUGUUCGGUGUUUGUGUCAUAGCCUUGGGCAAACCUAACUGAGCAUUUACGUGGUUUCGAGUCCAACUCGGACACCUGCAAUUCAUCUGUGAUCUGUCAGCUGAGAGCACGCACAUGACGGACGCGGGUCUGCUGCACGUGGCGUACGGCUGCCCCGCCCUGCACAGCCUGCGCUUCAGCGCCACGGGCAUCGCCGAUUGGGGCGUGCGCCGACCGGUGGUGCUGGCAGGGCCUCUGCCCGGUGUUCGCGUCGUGGUCGCAGCAGCAGGGGCAGAAGGCUGGAGGGGCGGCGUUAAGGCGGCAGGCGCUGUGGGUGCCGAGGCACGGGCGGCUUGCAACCAGAUGGCAGCGCGCUGUUGGUUGGGACGUUGGGUUGCACUUGGGGGUGCGCUGGGUGAUAACUUUGUUGCAGGAACGGUGGUAGGCGCCUGGCGUGCGGUAUCCCGCGAGCAGCGGGUGCGCCGCGACGCGUUGACCACUCAGCCUGGCUGCGCACGCUAUGGUCAACUCGGCAUGGGGCCGUUCGACAGAGGCCAGCACACAUGCCGACGUGUAUCCGCUGUCCCCUCCCAGCUGUCCCUUCCAGUAGUCCCUUCCAGUUGUCCCUUCCAGCUGUCCCACACCAACUGUCCCACCCCAGCUGUCCCUUCGGCUCCCUUCUCAAAACGCAGCUUUCAGCAAAAUCUACAGCCUGCCCGACUCCCAGCGUGUGCGACCUUCCGCCCGCCUUCCAAAACGCAACAGCCCCCGCCUCUCCUCGCCAGCCGCUCACAGCCGAAACUCUGCUUCUUUCUUUAUCAGCCACAAACAUCAGCCACAAACAAGGCCUCGGAAACAACGCCUCGGAAACUUCCUCCCAACUAGUGCGCGGCCACAGCUCCCCUACCGAACGUCGCAGCACCUAUCCUCACCAUCAGCAACGCUUCCUCACCUCCGGUUGUGUUGUUGGCGUGUUGCACCGCAUUCGGCCUGCCCGCCACAAUUGUCGUACACAUUCGGGCCCCUCUUCUGCUUUGCUUCGCCUUGUUCCUGCCCCUGUUUGUCACACUGUCGCCCGGCCAUUGUUUUGCUGCACGCCGUUGCAUUACGCUAGUGCUCGUCUACACAGCUCAUCCGUGGACGCCGGUCGACUGCCUGCAGGUGCGCAUCGGCUAUGCUAUCCGCGCGGUGUGGCGUCGCAUUGAGUCUGUGUGGUGCUAUCGCCUUGGCCGGGCGCCCGGAGCGUGAGGAAUGCGCGUCAGCAAAACAUCGACACAACCUGCCAGCUACCGUCGGUACAGUAACAGCGCGCGAACGACGCACCAAUGCCUUGUCCCUUCUUGCUACGCAUUUAUGUGGGCACGGGUGGGAGCCACACACAUCGGGACUACGCUUUCCUGCCCCUUGCCAUGUUCCAUCACAUGCCGACGUGUAGCAGUUUGGACUUUAUUAAUAGGUUGCACUGUUGACGUGAGCUCAAGCUUUCCGCUUAGAAGAGUAGUUGCUAGCAGUGCUAGUGAAGCUGCGUAUACUGUAACUUUCCUGAAGUCGUCAAUUUUUUCUACGCUGCAUACGCACCCUCAUGAUAAUCCUGGUUGUCAUAGAACAUGCCACCUAGACGGGCUCGAGUCCCUGCAACUCUCGAGAGCCGCAUCAAGCAAGGUCUGCAAUACUUUGCUGGCCUGCGCGAGGACGAGGCAGCAGAUGUUGCCCGUGCAAAGGACCUGGGCGAUGCACUCCUUGAAGCUGACAUGAACAUUAUCAGCAAUACCGGGAUUUUGAGCGGCAUCGUGGCUGCGCAUGCCUGGGCCGCGCGUGCGCUUGCCGUUGACGUUCUGAACGACUCGGCUUACGUCGCUUUUGUAGCGACCGCAACUAAUCUAGGAGAACUGCUCAGCAGCCAGCCGGGCGACCAAGCUUACGGCAGGCAGGACCGGUUGGUCCGAGCCCUGCUGAGGGCGGACACGCUCGCCGUGCACGCGAGGCUGUGUGUACGGACGCUCGCGCCCACCCGCGGGGCCGCCGCCCGCCGCAGCCUCCGGCCACCGGAUGCAAUCAAGCGGGAUCUGGUAUGGCGUGUCCUCCAGAACCUCUCCACGAUUGCCCGAUUUGUGAACAACAGCCGGGAUGCUGGCCUCAAGCACGAGCUGGUGACGGCGCUGGCGCACACGCAGCUGCUCGAGCACGCCGCGCGGGCGCUGCUAAGCGCCGCCCAGGCCAUUCAGCCCGCAUCCAGCGAAGGAACUUCAGGGGCGGCUGCAGCUUCGGGAACGGGGCUUCCACCUGAGAGCUGGAUAACCGUGUCGGGCGUAGCAACCACAUUUGCCCACGCGCUUUCGUGCCUGGUGGGCACAGACCUGCGCACUACCGCGCUGUGCCCACGACCCCGCGAACGGGACGCAUCUGUGGAGGUGUCGCAGAAUUCGAGGCAGCUACAACUGCUGGAGCAGCUGCGGCCGCUGCUGGCCAGCCGCUGCGUGCAGCUCUGCACGGGAUGGGCGGGCCUGUGUGCGGCCAUUACCGUACGGCAGCGGGCAGCGGACGACAGCGCUCAGCAGGGCUUGGUACCAACUGCGUCGCAGCUGUGGCACGGGCUGCCGUCGGAGCUGAUACGGCCGCUGCAGCUGCCGCCGCAGGCCACUGUGUCAAGCCAGGAUAUGGUGCGCACAGCGACCCUGGUACGUAUACGGUACUCGACCGCCGAUGCGCAAGAUGGGCUGCUGCGUUAGUUGACGGGGAGCUUGACGGGGAUAUAAGUGCAUGAACUGCAAUGCUCCCGGCGGGGCUCUCCGGUAUACAAUCUAGUGUUGGCAUUACAGGAACUUAGCGUUGACAUUAGCUCGCCAUUUGCUCGCCGCCUUGCAGGCACUGCCUAUGGUCCUGCAGGUGACGGUCAGCGGCCCCUGCGACCUGGCCAUCGCCCAGCCGCCCGUGGGCUACGACCGCCUGCCGCACAGGCAGCCACAGCCGCAGCGACCAUCGGCGGGGCCAUCAGCAGCGGGGUCAGCAGCAGCGGAGGGGCCGGCUGCAGCACCAGCACCAGCUUCGUACAGCGCCGUAAACGCGUACGGGCUGCUUAAGGCAUUAUGGCACUGCCUGGCCUGUGACCGCGCCACUUACACGUGCAACCUGUGCGCAGUCGCCACGGUAAUGACCCGGCUGCUGACGGAGCUGCGGCCGCGGCAGGCGGCGGUGCUGCUGCCGAGUUGGUGGCAGCUGCUGGCGCAGGAGCCGUCCAUGCUCAUUGAGGGGUACGGGCUUGCGCAGGACGCAGGGGAGCUGCUGCGGCUGCAGUUGAAUGCGCCGCCGCCGGUCGCGUGGGCUGUUGGGGUGACGGAUGCAGCUUCCGUGGCUGCGGCGAGUGUGGACUGGCCGCCGGAAGCGGCGGAGGUGCAGGACGCGGAGGCGGCGACAGCAGCGAAGGCAGCAGCCAGCCUGGCGCGUGAGAGGGACCCCAGCUACAGCCUCCGCUGCGCGCUGGACGCGGGGCUGCUGUCAGUUAUGGAACGGUGCCUUCGCGCGCCACAGGCCUGGCGGCAGUCCAACAGCGUGAGCAAGCUGCUGUACGUCGUAAACUGCGUGCUGCGCUACUCGGGCGUGUGGCCCGCGGUGCUGGCUCGCGGUCCCGUGCAGCAGGCGGUGUCGCUGAUUGCCACGCUGGGCGCAGCAGCUCGGCUGCUGCAGGAGAAGGACACGUCACUGGACGUGAUAAGCCGUGCCUCCCAGCCUGGCAUGCAAACAACGGCAAGGUGCGGCGCCGGCGGCUACCUGUGUGCCUACCUGUCCGCAAUGCUGGAGCAGGUCGUGGACGUGCGGGCGCUGGGCGAGGGCGCACAGCAGCAGCAGCAGCGGGAGGAGCAGCAGGCAGCAGCUAUCGAUGCUACGGCCACAGCCGCAAUUUCCACCCCACUGCACCUCAACUCGGUGCUGGAGCAGGUAGUGGAUUCGAAGGACGGCAGUGUCGAGCCCUCCACGUGCUCCAUCGCCUGGAUGGCGGCGGCGGGCGGCCUGCCAGCUGCCGGCUCCACAGCGUACCGGCAGCAGCAGCUGCUCACGAGCUUCGCGGUGUACCAGUGGCUGCCCAUGCUGGCAAAGGCAACGGAGGAUGCCUUGUGGAGUAGUGAGGCGGGCGCCGAGGGCUGGCUGUCGCAGGCGCUCCUGGUGGGGCACCUGGUGAUGGAUGUGCUCUGGCGCGAGGAGCGCCCGCCAGCUGAAGCCGACGAGGGCGCUGGCUCACACAACCGACGACAGGACGCGGCGUGGUGGGAGGGCGUGACGCAGACUGGCCAGCUUGCGAAGAGCAUGCACAAUAUUAUGGACGUGCUGGCAACAGACGCCGUAAGGCCGCUGCUGCUUGAGCACUGUGAACAGUGGCAGCAGGCAGCCGUGUUGGACCUGUUGCAAUCCUAUUGGACACGCUUUGCGGGGGCGGCGCGUGUCACGAUACGUGCGUGGGCGAUACGGGCGGCCGAACAACAGCAUCAGCGGACGGAUGGAAAGCAGCAGGCUGGGCAGGCGGCGGAGGGCGGGAAGGGCAGCAGCACGAGCAGCCUUGGCGACAGCACAGCACAGCAGCGGCAGGCGCCACCGCCCGAGCUAGUGCUGCAGUGCUUGACGCCGCUGCCGAUGCAGCAGCUGGCAGCGGUGCACGGGCGGCAGGACAUGGUGGAUUACCUGGACGCAGUAGCUAAGGGUUUGAGAGGGGAAAUGAUGAUUGAGUGCGGCAGUGCCGGCGCCGGCGGAAGCGGCAUGGGGGUGCAAGGGCCUGCCAGCAUGGAGGGCGGCGCGUCGCACGCUAGCGCCACGGCGGAUAGGUUGAGGGCGAAGUGGGUUGGCGCCGUGCGGCCGCGGUACCCGUGGCUGUUGUCUCAAGGCCAGGCACAGGCGGGGCUGCAUGACCUGAUGGUCGCAGAGGCGGCGGCUGCAGCGGCAGCUACUGCUACGGGCGAGCCCUCAGUAGCCUGCGGCGGCGGUGGCAGCAGCGGGAGCAGUAGCAGGAGCAGUAGUGGGCAGGGCAGCAGCAGCGAUGGGCCGGUAUUUGAGCACAAGCUGUGCUACAACCCGCGCUGCUGCUCGCUGGACGGCCCCAGCGUGUUGGUUGCGCCCCGCGGCGGCAAGACGUGUGUGCGGUGCCGUGCUGCCACGUAUUGCUGCGGCGCUUGCCAGCUUGUGGACUGGCGUGAGCGGCACUCUGGCACCUGCAGUGGAGCCGCCGCGGCGGCGGCAGGGUCAGCAGGGACAGCGAAGGCAGCGCUGAAGAAGGCAUGAACUGACGAAGUGCAACAGCAGUAUGGACCCGAAGACUGCGCUUCAAAUGCGGCGUUUUGCGGUUUGUAUGAGAGUGAGAGUGCGAUGCAUGGCGUGGACUCUUGGGUCGUUUGCCACGCCGAGCGUGCAGCAAGAAGCGCUUAAAAAGCCCAAUUGGCUCUGCUUUGCAUUAGCGCAUUACGGUUGAUGACCGCUGACGCGGGUGGUCCGCGCCUUCAUCGGCCGGGAUUACAGAGCGGACUCCACACCGAAUGUAUGAGUGCCAGACCUGCGAUGCUAAUCUUACUUCGCCAAGGCUAGCCUCCUCGCUCCUUUGAGGCUUGAUACCGUAUCAAGGUUUUGGGCAGGAGUAGGGGCAUCAUGAGCGGCGGCGGGGUAACAGGGUGGGGUACAGGCUGCAGUGUUGUUCGGGUUUGGGCGCGUUCUAGGCAUGUGGCACCCGUAUGUGGCAGAGCAAUUUGACUGUCCCCAACAUGUUUAUGUGCCCGCCGAGAAUGCUAAGCUGACGGUCUGAACUUCGCGGUUUUUGUAGUUGCACGACUGUAUGUCAUUAGAGUUUCGGCCAUUGUCGCAGGUGCAGGCGCAGUGCAGUAGAAUGCAGGGGCGUGGGCGAGGAGGAGAGGGCUGACGGACAACUGGAGGCCGUGAUGCGGCGGUAGAUACGGUAGGUACAGGACUGGGAGGCGCACCAAAUGCAUGACUGACUUACCAGUGCACGGCUGAACGCGAUGGCUACAUGUGCGGACUGCGGACGGGCUUGGAACAUCAGCUUAUGAAUGAGGGACGGUGCACUGUUGCCGACGCAUUCGGCCUAUCACGGCAUGCACUCACAUGGCAUCAUCUCGCUCUACACCGCCAGUCUUUGGUGCCACGGCAAGAGGUGGGGCCCCGGUGGAUGGGUGUGCAGGAGGGCGGGGUGGUUUGGCGGUAGGGAUGGGAGUGCGGAAGUGGACGACAAGGUCAAGCUUGCAGGAGGUGUUGUUUGCGGUAACAGCUGGAUGGUGGCAUGUUUUGUCGUUGUAAUAUGGGACAAGCAGCAUGAGGAUGCGUUGUCGAGGAUCAAGUUCACGAGCAUGCCAUCAGGUGAGUUGAACAAGAAAGGCCGUUAGUAAGGGCGUGCUAUGGCUGCUGCAAGUUGUUUCGGGUUAAGGAGGAGGGUGGCAUCCCUGGCCACUGGCGAUCCACCGGGUCACCUGCGCAAGGUAGGCGGUGGCGAGCUCCUUGUUGUUGGGGGGGGCGGGUGGCACAGCCGCACAGCCGGUUUGGUGGUUGGAUGACGGUGGCAGUGCCGGGCCAGUUCCUGAUACCUUCCGUACUCGUGAUGAGCCGUGUGUGACAUCCGUACUCGUGAUGUUCGGUGUUUGUGUCAUAGCCUUGGGCAAACCUAACUGAGCAUUUACGUGGUUUCGAGUCCAACUCGGACACCUGCAAUUCAUCUGUGAUCUGUCAGCUGAGAGCACGCACAUGACGGACGCGGGUCUGCUGCACGU